This 345-nucleotide ribosomal RNA is filed under the name uncultured Acidobacteriota bacterium. RNAcentral's name for it is "bacterial SSU rRNA". It matches the Rfam family "Bacterial small subunit ribosomal RNA", at positions 35 to 394 of the family's 1533-position model. The record is from RNAcentral. Lineage: Bacteria; Pseudomonadati; Acidobacteriota.
GCUGGCGGCGUGCCUAACACAUGCAAGUCGCACGAGAAAGGGGAGCAAUCCCUGAGUAAAGUGGCGCACGGGUGAGUAACACGUGAAUUAUCUACCUCCGAGUGGGGAAUAACCUAGAGAAAUCUGGGCUAAUACCGCAUAACACUCACGGGUCAAAGCAGCAAUGCGUUUGGAGAGGAGUUCGCGGCAGAUUAGUUAGUUGGCAGGGUAAUGGCCUACCAAGACGAUGAUCUGUAUCCGGCCUGAGAGGGCGCACGGACACACUGGAACUGAAACACGGUCCAGACUCCUACGGGAGGCAGCAGUGGGGAAUUUUGCGCAAUGGGGGAAACCCUGACGCAGCAA